Molecule: long non-coding RNA, 261 nt
Filed under: Lathyrus oleraceus (garden pea)
Lineage: Eukaryota; Viridiplantae; Streptophyta; Magnoliopsida; Fabales; Fabaceae
Description: Pisum sativum (pea) long non-coding RNA (PSAT_LNC040884)
Source: RNAcentral
CUGCCUCAAAUACAGGGAAUUCAAAAUUGGGAGAUGGCGUUGGAUCAUUAUGUUCAAUGGGUUUUAGGAUCAAUCUGCAUAAUGAUUUUGGUUAAGGAAAAAACUUCAGCAUUUAAACAAGCAAACCAUUAUGCAGAUGAAAAAUGUUAGCUUUUUUUUUUGUUUUUAUGGUUUUUUGUGAUCACUGAUUUCAUAAAGAAAAGCAAAAAGUGAAAACAAAGGAAAAACAAAUGUUUUGACAAUGCAAAAAUUGAAUGAAAA